This 665-nucleotide ribosomal RNA is filed under the name Streptomyces sp. Its description in RNAcentral is "bacterial SSU rRNA". It matches the Rfam family "Bacterial small subunit ribosomal RNA", at positions 106 to 785 of the family's 1533-position model. The record is from RNAcentral. Lineage: Bacteria; Bacillati; Actinomycetota; Actinomycetes; Kitasatosporales; Streptomycetaceae.
GUGAGUAACACGUGGGCAAUCUGCCCUUCACUCUGGGACAAGCCCUGGAAACGGGGUCUAAUACCGGAUAACACCGGCCUCCGCAUGGGGGCUGGUUGAAAGCUCCGGCGGUGAAGGAUGAGCCCGCGGCCUAUCAGCUUGUUGGUGGGGUAAUGGCCUACCAAGGCGACGACGGGUAGCCGGCCUGAGAGGGCGACCGGCCACACUGGGACUGAGACACGGCCCAGACUCCUACGGGAGGCAGCAGUGGGGAAUAUUGCACAAUGGGCGAAAGCCUGAUGCAGCGACGCCGCGUGAGGGAUGACGGCCUUCGGGUUGUAAACCUCUUUCAGCAGGGAAGAAGCGAAAGUGACGGUACCUGCAGAAGAAGCGCCGGCUAACUACGUGCCAGCAGCCGCGGUAAUACGUAGGGCGCAAGCGUUGUCCGGAAUUAUUGGGCGUAAAGAGCUCGUAGGCGGCUUGUCACGUCGGGUGUGAAAGCCCGGGGCUUAACCCCGGGUCUGCAUCCGAUACGGGCAGGCUAGAGUGUGGUAGGGGAGAUCGGAAUUCCUGGUGUAGCGGUGAAAUGCGCAGAUAUCAGGAGGAACACCGGUGGCGAAGGCGGAUCUCUGGGCCAUUACUGACGCUGAGGAGCGAAAGCGUGGGGAGCGAACAGGAUUAGAUAC